Apis cerana (Asiatic honeybee) is the source of this 2312-nucleotide long non-coding RNA. RefSeq lists it as uncharacterized. NCBI's taxonomy places the organism in Eukaryota, Metazoa, Arthropoda, Insecta, Hymenoptera, Apidae. The record is from RefSeq and is a predicted model, not a curated record.
GUUCUUGUCGCAACAUCCAUCAACGAAUGAAUGCAGUAACGAAGAAUUACUGUGCGAGAUCGGUUAGUAAAAAUACCAGUCAUAUUAUUGAGUGACUUAAGGGAAUAAGUGGUAUGUGAACCCCCAUUGCAACGAUGACCUCAUGGUCGUAUGAAAUUGAUGGAAAUAAACGAGCACAGGGUUACCGGCGUGAUUACUCUUAUGACGUUAUCUCUGCUACGCUAUAUUUUUGGACACGUGCGCAGCCACUGUUAAUUUCUUGCGCAGCGAUUAUUAUCGCUUGUUAUGCAAACGAUUAAGCAAACGAACGAGAAAAGUUGCGACUGUUAUACUUUUAGUACAUUCUUUCAGAAACAAAAUAAUUAACAAGAAUCGAUAAUUGUCUCAUUACUGUAUUAAAUACGUUUGAAAGAAUGAAGAAAUUACAUGAUAUGAUUGGAAAAAAUUAUAUUAUAUACAAAUAUUGUCUAAAGAAUUAUAAACAAAAUUAUAAAUUAGUAAUGAUUUAAUUUAAAAAAAUAGUGAAAGAUUAAAAAAUUAAAAUAUACUAUUAAAAGAAUAUGAAUAUAUGUAUGCUAGAUGUAUAAAACAUAAGAAAGAGCAUCAUUCAUAAAUCAAAAUUUAUUUCCAUUUAUAUAGUAUUGAAUAAUCGAUCAAACCGCAGAAAAUCAUUAUGAAUCAAACCUUAUUUCGUUCGAAUGUCAUCGAUUAAUAUUCGAACACAUUAAAAUCGUACCGUUGGCGGAGUGGCAGUGUCAAUCAGGCUUUGAAGACGAUCAAUUGUGCUUCGUCCUUUAAUCCAAUGAUCGAAAAACGUCAAACAAUUUACAUUCUUCGAACAACCCGAACCUUAACACUUAUGAUUUGCAUUUCUGUACCCUAUUACAAGCAACAAUCGAAAUUUUUUUCCGAUCUAGCAACGUUACACUGACAACAAUCCGCUUACGAAUGGAAAAUGACGUAUAAUGGCGGCUGUUUCGAAGGGCCCAGCGACAUCUAGUGAAGCAAAGGUGGAUCAUCUUACAAAUACAAAUACAAAUCGAACCACGUAUGAAGAAGGGAUAGAGCUAUGUAGCAAUCAUACGAGGCGAUAAAUAGAUGAAUGCGUCGAUGGUAUAUUAUACGAGGAGACGAUAUAUUCCAUCGUUCACGCCUACGUGAUGUCAUGUGCACGUCAGAAAUGCCGACCUUGCGGCUGCGGCUCAAGUCAGUGCACGCGUAAUGCGAUGCAUUUGUAUUGACCAAGCCUUUCGGCCGAUCCCACCAUUGCUUUGUGCUGAUAAGCAUACCUACGCUAUGCAACUUAUAUGCAUGAUUGAGCAUACGCGUGGUAUAUAGGGAAUUCAAGAUACCUCGUGAAAUUCCAAAGGAUGAAUAGUUCUACAAGUCUUAGUAAUGAUUGUGACUGAAAAAGGAUAUUUAGGUCAUUGGUAAAUAGCCAUAUUCAGACCAAUCAAUGAAUCAAGUUUAUAAAGGAAGGAAAAAAAAAGACAAAGGAAAAAACAAAAAAAUAUCUAUCUACAUUUUCAUAUUACAUAUUGUACAAAAAUGUACAAUGUAUACUAUAAUUAGAUUAGAAGAUAAUUAUUUAAUAGUACAGUAAAAUUAAAACGAAAAAAAAAAAAAUAAAUCCACAUUUAAUUCAAUAAUCCGUUUAAAUAAAAAUAUUAGAUUAAAUCUUAGCAUCCAAUGUGAUUGAUCUUUCAAAACAUAUUUUGCAGUGUAUAUUAAUAGAAUUAACUUUUCAUAUUGCUAAUCUGCGAGUAUCAUAGAUAAUGUAGCAGGUCGACUUACAACUUUUACGUUUCCGGCGCCAAAAGGAUUCCUAUUGCACGUGCCAGACUACUUGGAUUAAAUAACGUCUACGAAGGUGCGUCGACGUGACACUGCAGUAGUUUACUACACCGCAUUAUUUUAGACAUCAACAGGAUACUUGAUAAUUCAUUUUAAGCAAAAAUAAAAACAAUAUUUAUAUUAAUUAAUUCUUAUUCAACGAAAUAAAAAACGAACUUUUCUUUCAUAAAAGUCUAAAUCAUCGUUUGAAAAUAUAUUUAUAUUUAUUUUUAAGAGAUUUAAUUUGCAUAUCAUUAUUAUUAAAUGAAGAAUGAUAAUAAAAUAGACAAAAAUAAAUAACAAUAGCUCAUAAUAUUGCAAUUUAUUGCAGAAUAAUCUUCUGAAACCUUUAAGUCUUAUUUAAAAAAGAAAAAAAAUUGCAGCUUAAUCUUAUUUGAUCUAUCUUCUUAGAAGAAAUCGUUUUCCAUUAUUAUUUUCCAUAUUAUAUGUAAAAAAAUAAAAUAAAAAUAUAUACUAAU